This 253-nucleotide ribosomal RNA is filed under the name uncultured bacterium. RNAcentral's name for it is "partial 16S ribosomal RNA". It matches the Rfam family "Bacterial small subunit ribosomal RNA", at positions 524 to 776 of the family's 1533-position model. The record is from RNAcentral.
UACGUAGGUGGCGAGCGUUGUCCGGAUUUACUGGGCGUAAAGGGCGCGUAGGCGGCAAUUCAAGUCAUCUGUGAAAUCUCCGGGCUUAACUCGGAAUGGUCAGGUGAUACUGCUUUGCUAGAGUGCAGAAGGGGCAAUCGGAAUUCUUGGUGUAGCGGUGAAAUGCGUAGAUAUCAAGAGGAACACCUGAGGUGAAGACGGGUUGCUGGGCUGACACUGACGCUGAGGCGCGAAAGCUAGGGGAGCAAACGGG